Long non-coding RNA from Onychostoma macrolepis, 1083 nucleotides. RefSeq lists it as uncharacterized. The record is from RefSeq and is a predicted model, not a curated record. The transcript is spliced from 4 exons. NCBI's taxonomy places the organism in Eukaryota, Metazoa, Chordata, Actinopteri, Cypriniformes, Cyprinidae.
CUCCCUAAAAAAAGUAACUACCGUAUUGACCCGAAUAAUAUAUAUACAAAUGUAAAGCUCUUUCACAGCAAAAGUGAAGUGAAUGCGGCUCAGACUGAAGGAGAUGUAGAUUCACGUCUGUACAGUAGAGGACGCUCAAACUAAUCACAUGAAGAAUAUGACGCAGGAGAAGAAAGAUCAACACUAUUCAGCAAUAACUAAAAUAUAACACAAAUGUGUCAUUUUUUAUUAUUAGUACAGUUGAAGUGAAUCAUCGAAGCAGGUUGUUGGUGAGUUUGAGGCGGUCGAAUGAGACGGUCUGUUUGACCCACUGCGCUCCUCGAGCCGGAGAGUCCGGGUGGAAGUGCACUCGUCCCGGGGCGGCUAUAUCUCCGCGUCCAGCUACCAGCCACGAGGAGCUGUGGAAGGCGUACCUGCACACAACAUCCAGAGCUUCAGAAACAUGCGAAUAAAGUCCAUUAGGAGAACAUAUUCUGCAGCAGGAUCCAUGCCUGAAAUGUGUACUUGAAAUGUAGGAAACAUCCUUCUGUAUGAACACAAACAACAGCAGUCAAUAUAUGCUGAUCACAGACUUAUCAUAAUGCAAAUCAUCAUCAUCAUCAUCAUCAUCAUCAUCGCUCAGAUCCCUAACCCCAACUACUGUAGUUUAGUGUGUAAGUCAACAAACAACCGCCCAGAACCUCAAAAAGCCCGCAGCAGCUUCACUACUCACAUGUUCUUCAGACAACCUAAACAUGGAAUUGCUAACAUAACGCUACACAGAGAUGUAUUAGCAAAGGAGUGAUGUCUGGUGAAACCUUCCAGCUUUUGUCACAAUCAUCUCAGUGCCGAGCUGGUCGAACUGCCGCCACAGGCUCUGCAUCUCCAGCUGAACCCUGACGCUGGCCACCUCCGGAGCUUUGCUGCAGGUCCGAGACGACUCCGGGACUGCAGAUACACACAUCAGGUACAAAUAAAGCACAAUCUGAAUAUUACCAUUCAUCAUUGCUGCUGGUCCAGUGUCCAGCUGGUCUUCCUCACACUCCGUGCGUCUGCGGCUCAGGACGCUUCAGACCGGCCUUUAUAUAAUCUGAGAGAUUUCUG